UCAUUUGUUUCCCUUUUUGGCAGAAAUUAGCGUGAAGAUGCAACUGCAAAAAUCUUAAUUUGCAUAUGUUAUUUAGGCAUUUUAAUCGUAUCUCUAUAUCUCUAUAUUAAUUAUUAUUAUUAUUAUUAUUAUUAUUAUUAUUAUUAUUAUUAUUAUUAUUAUUAUUAACAAUAAUAACAAUAAUAAUCAUAACAAACAGCACGUAGUCGACGUUGAUGACGCUAUACGUAGAUCGAAUGCUGAUUGGUUGAAACACUGAGUUGACCCGGAAAGAGAAAACCUUCACGGAAGCUGACAAAAAUGGCAGCGCUCGAAAGUUUCGAGGAACAGUUAGCUGAACAAAUUGCGUUACACCACAACCUUUAUGACCCUGGACACAAGUAUUACAAGAACCCGCACGUUAGCAUCAAGUCGUGGCAAGAAAUAGCAGCCGCCCUCCAGACAGAGCCUGACAAAUGCCGGGAGAAGUGGAAGCAACUUCGGGACAGGUAUGUUCGGGCCAAGAAAAAGUUCACCAGCAAAAGCGGCCAGCCAGCGAGACCAGCGAGAACCCCUCCGCUGCUGAAGUCCCUGUCGUGGCUGGACGGGUACGUGAAACACAGGAAUGCCGUGACGAGGUACACAAUAGAGAGUCCCGAAGACUUCUCAUCCUCCCCCGCAGGGCCGGCCCAGGUGCUGGAAGACAUGGCUAACCCUUAUCCUGAUAAAUCCCAGAGUUCAGCUGCAGCAUCCCCUGGACCGUCACCACACAACAGCAGCCAGGGUGGCGAAAUACAAUUGAUGGAGUCAACUCUGCCGAGCCCCUCCAGGUCCGAGGGCAGCCCGACACGGCGCUGCAUCACCCCGACCCCACAAAGCCGGCCUAAUAAAAGGAAGGAACAUGAUGAGGACCACGCCACCACCUCCAUAAAAGACCUGAUAUUGGACUGCUCCAAAAUGGCAGCAUUACGUGACAUGUGUGCUGUGCAAGGGGACGAGCUGGACGAGUCGCACUACUUUGGAAUCGUGGUCGCAAAGGGGCUGCGGACAUUGCCGGACAAAAUGCGGGCAGAUGCCAUGGCACAGGUGAUGCUGCUGUUGAGCAACUUCCGUCAACAAGCUUUUGAGCUGCAAACAACAAACGACAACAAGAAAACCUGA
Molecule: long non-coding RNA, 1140 nt
Filed under: Oreochromis niloticus (Nile tilapia)
Lineage: Eukaryota; Metazoa; Chordata; Actinopteri; Cichliformes; Cichlidae
Description: lncRNA (ENSONIG00000029027.1)
Source: RNAcentral